This 403-nucleotide ribosomal RNA is filed under the name uncultured bacterium. RNAcentral describes it as "bacterial SSU rRNA". It matches the Rfam family "Bacterial small subunit ribosomal RNA", at positions 356 to 773 of the family's 1533-position model. The record is from RNAcentral.
GGGGAAUAUUGCGCAAUGGGGGGAACCCUGACGCAGCAACGCCGCGUGAGCGACGAAGGCCUUCGGGUCGUAAAGCUCUGUCUGGAGGGAUGAAAGAAAUGACAGUACCUCCGGAGGAAGCCCCGGCUAACUACGUGCCAGCAGCCGCGGUAAUACGUAGGGGGCAAGCGUUGUCCGGAAUUACUGGGCGUAAAGGGCGCGUAGGCGGUUUUUUAAGUCAGAUGUGAAAGUCCAGGGCUCAACCGUGGAAUAGCAUUUGAAACUGAAGGACUUGAGUGCAGGAGAGGAGAGCGGAAUUCCUAGUGUAGCGGUGAAAUGCGUAGAUAUUAGGAAGAACACCAGUGGCGAAGGCGGCUCUCUGGACUGUAACUGACGCUGAGGCGCGAAAGCGUGGGUAGCGAAC